RNAcentral lists this long non-coding RNA (440 nucleotides) under Carica papaya (papaya). Its description in RNAcentral is "long non-coding RNA (CPAP_LNC014778)". The record is from RNAcentral. Lineage: Eukaryota; Viridiplantae; Streptophyta; Magnoliopsida; Brassicales; Caricaceae.
AUUGAAAAACUGAAAAUUAAAGAUAAACAAGAAAGUGUGUGAUUAAGUGAAUGGACGAAACAACUGCAUUACUUGAUAUCCUACGAGCUGGUGGAUGGACCGGGUACAUAGGGAACCCUACCGUGAAUGUUGUCUUAUACCGGACAGAGUAUCGAAGUUUGGUUAUUUGAGACUCAUACUGGACGGGGUAUGGACACAAUCCGUUUUACCCUCAUACCGGACGGGAUAUCGAGAUUUAGUAAUUUGACGCUCAUAUCGGGUUCACACGUUGUGAGGACAUCCCUACGAACCUCCAUGGAUACCAAUAGGCUGAUAAAAGAGAAAAUUAUUAUUCUAACCAAUUGCAUAUGAAAUCAUGAGAUGUGUUAUGUUAUUGUCUCUAUAAGUUAUUUUAUAAAUCUCAUUACGGUAAGUAGAUGGUAAAUAAUUUUAUUUAUGGU